This 570-nucleotide unclassified non-coding RNA is filed under the name uncultured fungus. RNAcentral describes it as "partial contains 5.8S ribosomal RNA, internal transcribed spacer 2, and large subunit ribosomal RNA". Lineage: Eukaryota; Fungi. The record is from RNAcentral.
AACGCACAUUGCGCUUCCUGGUAUUCCGGGGAGCAUGCUCGUUUCAGAAUCAUUUAAAACUCACGCAAGCUUAGGGUUCUUUCACGUAAAGUGAACACCCCACUAAUUGGCGCGUGGAUAUGAGUGCUUUUGGCCAUCAUGAUUGGAGAACACAAACCACUAAUUGCCUUUUGGCGAUUAGACUGCGAGUUGUUCGAGUUCGGGUGGGCAGUGCGUAUCAAACUUGGUGCGUGCUCCCCUCACAUUCUCGUUCGCAAAGGUUGCAGGAAUGCGCCUUUGGUCAGUGGGUCUGUUCUUCCUUGCACUACACGAAAUGGGCUUCGGCUUCAGAUUGUGUGUAAUGUACUGUUCAUGCUGGUCACAAAUCGCUUUAAAAUGAUAUUGUACGCAACCCAUGCCUUUACUGGAUUGUCCAAACAGUGCGACAGUUUUUACUAGAUCACUUUAGGACGUCAUUAACACUAGAGGCAGGUGUGUGUGUAUAAUCACCUCUCCAACACAUUGCAUGUGGCGAAAGCCCGUGCUUUGAAACUUGGUCUGAAAUCGAGCAAGAAAACCCGCUGAACUUAA